Molecule: small RNA, 125 nt
Filed under: Marmota monax (woodchuck)
Lineage: Eukaryota; Metazoa; Chordata; Mammalia; Rodentia; Sciuridae
Source: RNAcentral
GCUGGGCACGAUGGUGCAUGCCUCUAAUCCCAGUGUCUUGGGAGGCUGAGACAGGAGGAUUGCGAGUUCAAAGCCGGCCUCAGCAACAGUAAGGCACUAAGCAACUCAGUGAGACCCUGUCUCUA